Molecule: ribosomal RNA, 924 nt
Filed under: uncultured archaeon
Lineage: Archaea
Description: bacterial SSU rRNA
Rfam family: Archaeal small subunit ribosomal RNA
Source: RNAcentral
CCCUACUGCUAUCGGGGGAGGACUAAAACAUGCAAGUCGUGCGCCUCCAAGCUAUGAUGGAGACGCGGCAUACGGCUCAGUAACACGUGGCUAACCCACCCUUGAGACGGAGAAAACCCCGGGAAACUGGGGCUAAUCCCCGAUAGGAGAAGACACCUGGAAGGGGUCUUUUCCCAAAAGGCGCUUAGAUCAUGCUUCUAGACGCCGCUCAAGGACGGGGCCGCGGCCGAUCAGGUUGUUGGUGAGGCAAUGGCUUACCAAGCCUAUAACCGGUACGGGCCGUGAGAGCGGGAGCCCGGAGAUGGGCACUGAGACAAGGGCCCAGGCCCUACGGGGCGCAGCAGUUGCGAAAACUCCGCAAUGCACGAAAGUGUGACGGGGCUACCCCGAGUGCCGUCCGCUGAGGGCGGCUUUUCCCCGGUGUAAGGAGCCGGGGGAAUAAGGAGAGGGCAAGUCUGGUGUCAGCCGCCGCGGUAAUACCAGCUCUCCGAGUGGUAGGGAUGAUUAUUGGGCUUAAAGCGUCCGUAGCCGGCCUAGCAAGUCUUCCGUUAAAUCCACCGAUUCAAUCGUUGGACUGCAGGAGAUACUGUUGGGCUAGGGGGCGGGAGAGGCUGACGGUAUUCUCGGGGUAGGGGUAAAAUCCUAUAAUCCCGGGAGGACCACCAGUGGCGAAGGCGGUCGGCUAGAACGCGCUCGACGGUGAGGGACGAAAGCUGGGGGAGCGAACCGGAUUAGAUACCCGGGUAGUCCCAGCUGUAAACGAUGCGGGCUAGGUGUUGGGGCGGCUACGGGCCGCUUCAGUGCCGCAGGGAAACCAUUAAGCCCGCCGCCUGGGGAGUACGGCCGCAAGGCUGAAACUUAAAGGAAUUGGCGGGGGAGCACCACAAGGGGUGAAGCUUGCGGUUUAAUUGGAUUCAACGCCGG